GGCUACCUCGUUAACAUUUCUUUUCGUUAAGAGACUCUGCUAUUCAGCGACUAAAAAAUCCCAUUGAAAAAUCGUCAAUCUCUCUCGAUGUAUUAUGCAGUGCUUUUUUGAAAGGAAAAAGCGCCAAGGGAAAGACCACAUGUAUGUCAAGUAAACAAGACGACCAGCGGACAGGUACGCUUCAUGUCCAAGGUAUAGCUUACGAGGAAAUUAAAUAGACGUUGCCAAGAGGCGGUAAUAAAUGAGCUCAACGAGUAUAAAUAAUUGGGUGAAUUAACUUGGAUGAAGAUUGUCGUUUGGUAAUUUGUCCCCAAUAACGUGUGAAUGAGCAGUGGCUUGGACCCUUAUCACCGUAAUCUGGAGUACCCAAAAGAGGAUGGAGUUAUUGAAAAUUUUGUACAUGGAGUUGAGAAGAAUCUAAAUAAUGAGUUCGUCUCGUCCAAGCAAGGUUGGACUGUAGAUAACGCAGCAAGAAUUAUGGGAGGACAUCCUUUAGCGCCAUUCUCAUGCAAAUGCGCGGUAGAUUAUGGGUCCUUGUG
Molecule: long non-coding RNA, 539 nt
Organism: Fopius arisanus
Lineage: Eukaryota; Metazoa; Arthropoda; Insecta; Hymenoptera; Braconidae
Exons: 3
Source: RefSeq, a predicted model, not a curated record